GAUGAACGCUGACAGAAUGCUUAACACAUGCAAGUCAACUUGAACUUCGGUUUGGGUGGCGGACGGGUGAGUAACGCGUAAAGAACUUGCCUCACAGUUAGGGACAACAUUUGGAAACGAAUGCUAAUACCUGAUAUUAUGAUUUUAGGGCAUCCUAGAAUUAUGAAAGCUAUAUGCGCUGUGAGAGAGCUUUGCGUCCCAUUAGCUAGUUGGAGAGGUAACGGCUCACCAAGGCGAUGAUGGGUAGCCGGCCUGAGAGGGUGAACGGCCACAAGGGGACUGAGACACGGCCCUUACUCCUACGGGAGGCAGCAGUGGGGAAUAUUGGACAAUGGACCAAGAGUCUGAUCCAGCAAUUCUGUGUGCACGAUGAAGCUUUUCGGAAUGUAAAGUGCUUUCAGUUGGGAAGAAAAAAAUGACGAUACCAACAGAAGAAGUGACGGCUAAAUACGUG
This 454-nucleotide ribosomal RNA is filed under the name uncultured bacterium. RNAcentral describes it as "partial 16S ribosomal RNA". It matches the Rfam family "Bacterial small subunit ribosomal RNA", at positions 28 to 507 of the family's 1533-position model. The record is from RNAcentral.